This 500-nucleotide ribosomal RNA is filed under the name uncultured bacterium. RNAcentral describes it as "bacterial SSU rRNA". It matches the Rfam family "Bacterial small subunit ribosomal RNA", at positions 8 to 507 of the family's 1533-position model. The record is from RNAcentral.
AGAGUUUGAUCAUGGCUCAGGAUGAACGCUAGCGGCAGGCUUAACACAUGCAAGUCGAGGGGUAGAGGAAGCUUGCUUCCUUGAGACCGGCGCACGGGUACGUAACGCGUAUGCAAUCUACCUUAUACAGGGGGAUAGCCCAGAGAAAUUUGGAUUAAUACCCCAUAGUAUAAUUGAAUGGCAUCAUUUAAUUAUUAAAGUUCCAACGGUAUAAGAUGAGCAUGCGUCCCAUUAGCUAGUUGGUGUGGUAACGGCACACCAAGGCGACGAUGGGUAGGGGUCCUGAGAGGGAGAUCCCCCACACUGGUACUGAGACACGGACCAGACUCCUACGGGAGGCAGCAGUGAGGAAUAUUGGUCAAUGGGCGCAAGCCUGAACCAGCCAUGCCGCGUGCAGGAUGACGGUCCUAUGGAUUGUAAACUGCUUUUGUACAGGAAGAAACACUCCCUCGUGAGGGAGCUUGACGGUACUGUAAGAAUAAGGAUCGGCUAACUCCGUG